This 319-nucleotide long non-coding RNA is filed under the name Monodelphis domestica (gray short-tailed opossum). RNAcentral's name for it is "lncRNA (ENSMODG00000042941.1)". Lineage: Eukaryota; Metazoa; Chordata; Mammalia; Didelphimorphia; Didelphidae. The record is from RNAcentral.
AAUAGCCUUCUCAAUCCUUCCCACAAUCCUGUAAGGUUGAUACUAUUUUUAUUUUGUCUCCAUUUUCCAGAGGAAUAAACUGAGAUUCAGAGAAGUGAUUUACCCAAAAACUAAAACAGAAUUCAAACCCAGGUCCCUUCUGGACUGGAAAUGAGAACCAAAGAAGUGUUGAGACAUUUUCCCAAGAUCACAGUGACAGAGAUCUAAGAACUCAAGUUCCAAAGACCCUUAGGCUACCUUCCUUUGUGAAUUGACCAUAAAUAUCCUGACACCAUUGAAAGAGAGCAAAACAGAACACAUGUUACUCUAUUCAAAGCCC